AGCAUAUCAAUAAGCGCAGGAAAAGAAACCAACAGGGAUUGCCUCAGUAACGGCGAGUGAAGCGGCAACAGCUCAAAUUUGAAAUCUGGCCUCUUGGGGUCCGAGUUGUAAUUUGUAGAGGAUGUUUUGGGUACCGCCCCGGUCUAAAUUUCUUGGAACAGAAUGUCAAAGAGGGUGAGAAUCCCGUCUUGGACCGGCGGUAGGGCCUGUGUAAAACUCCUUCGACGAGUCGAGUUGUUUGGGAAUGCAGCUCAAAAUGGGUGGUAAAUUUCAUCUAAAGCUAAAUAUUGGCCAGAGACCGAUAGCGCACAAGUAGAGUGAUCGAAAGAUGAAAAGCACUUUGAAAAGAGAGUUAAACAGUAUGUGAAAUUGUUGAAAGGGAAGCGCUUGCAACCAGACUUGAGCGCGGCGGUUCCCCUGGCCUUUUGGCCAGGUUACUCCGUCGUGUCCAGGCCAACAUCGGUUUCGAGGGUCGGUUAAAGGCUCCGGGAAUGUAUCUACUCACGGGUAGACUUAUAGACCGGGGUGUCAUGCGGCCUCUCGGGACCGAGGAACGCGCUUCGGCUCGGAUGUUGGCGUAAUGGUUGUCAGCGACCCGUCU
RNAcentral lists this ribosomal RNA (601 nucleotides) under uncultured fungus. Its description in RNAcentral is "eukaryotic LSU rRNA". It matches the Rfam family "Eukaryotic large subunit ribosomal RNA", at positions 37 to 654 of the family's 3401-position model. Lineage: Eukaryota; Fungi. The record is from RNAcentral.